This is a long non-coding RNA of Heterocephalus glaber (naked mole-rat), 2365 nucleotides long. Lineage: Eukaryota; Metazoa; Chordata; Mammalia; Rodentia; Bathyergidae. The record is from Ensembl.
CAGUCACAAAAAUGAGCAAGAUGUGCUUCCUGCCAUAGCAAGUAUAUCCUAGAAGCAUAUAAAAAAGUAUGUUGGGAACCAGAAGGAGGAGCAAAUAAAUCAGACUGGGCAGAACCAAAAAUGAGCAACUCUUUCUAGCAACACUGUAAUCUUCCAAGAUGCAUUUAUGGAAAAUUUUCAGCUUACGGCCCAAAGUGGGGACUAUUAUGAGUCCCUCAAGAAUAUGGAAUUGGGAAAAAUGAGCAAGACCUCCCAGCAAACGGCAAAAACUGAAUUAAAGGAGAGAAGUAGACACUGACAAAUGUACUGAUUUGAGGAAAAACAACACUAGGCCAGUGGUGUCUUAAUUCUUGGUCAAUUACAUCUACCAAUAUAUUGAAAGAGAGAAUAUGUCCAUCAGACGAGUGGUUGAGAAGCCAGAAAAACAUACAGAGAGGAAAGGUGGAGAAAGAGAUCCUUGUGUUGUUCAAUGGAGACUUGUCUGAAGAUGAUGCUUUGUACCAGGGCACUCUAUUUCAAGAGCAGGCAUAUUAUUGCUGUUAUUAUUAUUGUUGUUCUCUAGUACAGAGAUGGCGAACCUUUUAGAACUUUCAGUGAUAACAAACAGCCCUCUAUGAUAUGCACACCAUAGGUUCACUACCCCUGCUCUAGAAUGUACUGUUUUCUAGGUCAUGUUUUAAUGUAGUAUACAUUAAUCCUUAUAAAAAUCUAAAGAUGUAGACACUAAUACUAACCCUAUUUAUAGAUAAGGAUAUUCAAGUUGAAGGAGAUUAAGGUGCUUGUCUAGAAUUUUAUAGCUAGUAAAUGUCAAUGUUGGUAUUUGAACUUAAUCUUGAGAAUUUGUACAUAGAACCACAAUUAUGAAAAUUCAUAUGGCCCAAAGAGAAUUCUCUCCUAAGCUUUGCAAAGAAGAAUUAGAGGCUCCAGAGUUUGUGACUAGCCCAGUAGUAUGUGUCAGAAUUAAGACAACUCAGGUCUCCUGAAUCUUAGUUUGUUAUAUUUCCAGAAUACUUGGAUGCUUUCUUCUCCUUGGAGAACUCAAUAAAGAUGAAAGCAGUAAAAUUAGAUUGUGAGAAGAGUUAGGACAACGGCAAACUGUACUCAUAGGAAGAGAGCAACUUCAUAGCUCCCUGGAAAGAAGGGAAAAAUUGGUCUUCACUUUCUUGAAGGUGGAUUGUCCAAAUAAAUUGUUUGGAACUCUGCACAGGAGAUUUGUCUAUUCUUCCAUAUUUAUUUAUUUUUUGAAUCACGUUUUUAUACCAGUAUAGACUCAUUUAUUUUACACUUUGGGUUUUAAUCCAAUUUAUUUUCUUACACCAAGUUCCUGCUUUGCCUGCUUGGAGCUUGUUCGGUUGCUUCCUGCAUUCUUUUGACAUACCCAUCAUUGUGUGUGUGGGGUGUGUGUGUGUGUGUGUGUGUGUGUGUGUGUGUGUGUAUCACUUCGUAUUCUAGCAGUACAAGAUGCUUCAGGCUUUCCAGCUUCAAUUCUAGAAUCGGCCACAUCUCCAAGGACCCUGUCUUUUCUUUUUGGAGAAUGAUAUUAGAAACUAAGAUCCGGGCAUCAUGUGACUCUUACUUUAACUAGUAGCUAAUGAUUAGGAGUCAAGACUAUGGCUGCCCGUGGAGAGCAGGUGUCGAGUAGAAAAGAUCCAAAGGGAACUUCCAGGGUGUCUGAUCUGUUUCUUGACUUUAGCCCUUGUUGCCUGGGUUUCUUUAAUUUAUGAAAAUGCAUAUAUGUUUAUGAUAUGUGCAGUUUUCUAUUUUCAUGCUAUAUUUCAAUAAAAUUUUUAGCAGAUAAAGGAAAAACAAGUCGAAAAACUAAUACUUCAGAUUUACUGAGUAUCAGGUAAACAAAGUCUGUCCAGCUCUAUAGAAGCACCCUCAGGUAGCCACUUAGUUUUCUUCAUUUACAAAGUAGGGAUGAGGUCAUCAUCUGCUAAAGGUGGCUGUUGUGAACUCUACAUGAGGCUUUAACCAUGCACCCCCACGCAUAGGUGCUUGUAUACGUAUGCGUGUUUGUGUGUAUGCAGUCAGUCCUUAUUAUCUACAGAGUUCAUUCUUAUGAAUCUGCUUACUUGCUAAUAUUUACUUGAAACCCUAAAGUCAAUGCUUAUGCCACUUUUGAGGUCACUGUGGACAUGUUCUGGGCGGCAUGACAGCCUGGUGCCUGUGUUCCCAGUGAGCUUAGCCAAGGUGACACUCUGGCUUCUGGUUUCAGCUCUCCUGCUGUAAACAAACAUCUCCUUCUCAAUGGAGUUAAGGCCAUGUUUCCCGCAUUUUGGUGCUUUGUUUCAUUUGUGAUUUAACUAUUUAAAAUGGCCUCACGUGCAGUGCUGAAUCUGUGUAUACUGUCCCUAAGAAUGAG